UGGUUCUGGCAUCGAUGAAGAACGCAGCGAAAUGCGAUAAGUAAUGUGAAUUGCAGAAUUCAGUGAAUCAUCGAAUCUUUGAACGCACAUUGCGCCCCUUGGUAUUCCGAGGGGCAUGCCUGUUCGAGCGUCAUUACAACCCUCAAGCAAUGCUUGGUGUUGGGCCGCGCCGCUAACCCGGCGGGCCCUAAAACCAGUGGCGGUGCCGUCGGGCUCUGAGCGUAGUAACUCUUCUCGCUAUAGAGCCCCGGCGGAUGCUAGCCAGCAACCCCCAAUUUUCUAUGGUUGACCUCGGAUCAGGUAGGGAUACCCGCUGA
Molecule: unclassified non-coding RNA, 317 nt
Filed under: uncultured fungus
Lineage: Eukaryota; Fungi
Description: partial contains 5.8S ribosomal RNA and internal transcribed spacer 2
Rfam family: 5.8S ribosomal RNA (bases 1-133)
Source: RNAcentral